This is a long non-coding RNA of Hypomesus transpacificus, 2294 nucleotides long. RefSeq lists it as uncharacterized. Lineage: Eukaryota; Metazoa; Chordata; Actinopteri; Osmeriformes; Osmeridae. The record is from RefSeq and is a predicted model, not a curated record. The transcript is spliced from 2 exons.
GGGGGGGGGGCUCGUGGAGGAGGCGGGGUCACGGCAGUCCUGCCAGGGCCGCCAUUUUUGCAAAGGGAAAAGAGGCUGGUAGAGGAGAUCUAAUUUCCAACAGUCGGCGUAGAUCCGCAGUGUGGACAGAAGUAUUGUUUUGGUUGUGUGGAAGCUAGCUAAGCAAGCGACGGGGGUCUCACCCAAGUCCCCUGUUCCUUCAUUCAGGGUAUCUACAGUGGACAGUAACGGUGAGUAAAAAGCUUCACAUUGGACUUAUGUUAAAUGAAGUCUAUCGACAAGGGAGCACGUCAAAUUAGAGUAUGUCUAUGCUGCCCAACCAGCUACUGUACUGGGUUUCUCAGACCAUGGCUAUAUUGUGGAAGAUGUCCAGGUCACUAACACCAGUUAUUGUUACUUAUUAGUUUACUGGAUGACUGGGAACUCUUUGGUUCAUCUACCUGAAUAACUUAUUAAGAUAUCUGUAAGGAGUAAGCACGAUGGAUCUGCUAGCUAGCUCUGUGUUGGUGCCAUUGCAUAUGUUAGCCAUGAAGCAUGCUAGGCAGCUCAAGCUGGCUGGGUUAAGUUUUCGCAGGUUUUUUAGCAGCAGCGUUACGUUAACUACCGUGUUUAGUAAUCCAGCAAACAUAUUGUUAAAUUGUGCUCGCUUUAAAAGGGUAGCAAACUUACUUCAGAUAGGCUUAGCUAUAUCGUUAACUAGGUAGCGUACAGGGGUGCUAGUAGGCUAAUGUAGCUAGCUACGCCGUCUAUUUAUAACGUUUGGGGUGGUUCGCAAAGACACAAACGUUUACUUUCGCAAAGCUUCCCGUUUUUACUGAUUGUAACUAGCUAACAAUGUUGCAGUCCCUUGCGGACAACCAUGCCAGGAUGAUAUUUGUGCGUUUGCUUUCCGUUAACAUUAACUAGCUUGCUCAGAAUACUGCUCAAAACGAAGGUCGCUGGUUCAGGAUACCCGCUUUAUUUCAGACAGUGCUUAAAUGGUUGGCUUACCAACAAAUGUUAAAAAAAAAUUAGUUGCAAUCUGAUGCAAUAAUAGAAUAUAAACCGAAUUCAAUUGUAGUACAACUAGCCUAACUCUAGAGCUAUAGUUAACAGUAAUUUAUUAGCGGCUUAACACGACGAGACAAAUGAAAUAGCUAGGUAAACUCGAGCUUUUUGUUAUGUUACGCACUUAGCUAGCAAGCAGGCUAACUACACACUUCACACAAGUGCUCUAUUGGAGUUGGCAAGCUUUAUUUUUAUAUAAAAGAUAACUGAGGGAAACGUGAGAGAAGUGUCGCUCUGUUGUGCAUGCGUGACAUUACUUUAAAUUCACAUUAGGUAGCUUGGUAGUAAGAGACAUUACCAGGCGUAUAACAGAUCAGUUAGCUAGUAAAAUACACGUAUAACAUGUCUAGUAUGUCAGUUGUCGAAAUCCUACAGUACGGGGUCCAUUAAAGUAUUACAUUUAGAAAACCUCACUUCUGCCACACUGUCAAAGCUCCGAAAAUGAAGUCAAGAAAUCCCCAUCUUGUAGUGUUACAAUUAAAGUAGUCAGAAUGCAUUUCGUUACUUAAUUUAGAUUCAGAGGGUAUUUGGUUCAACUGCUGCAAACGUGGGGGAGGGGACAUAUUCCGUUUGGGAGUAUCUUUCCAUUAUUGAUAGCUAGCUACAUUGUACUAACAUCGACCAAAUAAUAUGCAAUUUACAAUCGUACAAUUAUUUGUAGAAGGUUUUUGUUGAUCUUAUCUGUAAAUGUGCAAUACUUGUUAGCCAAAGUUAUUACUGUACAGCGAGACAAGACUGAGCAAGACACCGUCGACAUUAGGAUGUAGCUGGCUAGCGGGCUAACGACGUUAGCUGAUUUUAGUUAUUAGCUAGCUUAAUUUGCUUACGUUCAAUUAGCAGGCUAGAAAACUAGCUUUUUUGCUUUUUAAUGUUGAAUUCUCAAAAUGUGUUGGUUGGAUUAGCAAGGCUACGUUAUCCGAUAGAACAUUACGGAUGAUGUCAUCAGCUAACGUUAGCUUGAUAGCGAUAGCUGUUCUGCUGUUGAAAUAUUUGUUUCAGCUAAAGCUUGAGGCCAACUUUGCUUUAGAAGACGGCUUGAUUGCUAGCUAACGUUAGCCUUCCUGAUUCAAUGUCGACGAAUUUGUACAUAUCUGUCAUAAUAACAACACAGAGACGGUACCGACAGAUUGAUACUUAAGAAUGUGUGAAAGAGACGACUGAUAGCUUUCUUGGGGAUUUUCUUCUAGUGGUGAGGGUCCCCUCGGUUACACGAUUUCUCGCUGUCCUUAGAAAAGGCUCAAGGAAAA